CGUACACUCCUACGGGAGGCAGCAGUGGGGAAUAUUGGACAAUGGGCGCAAGCCUGAUCCAGCCAUGCCGCGUGAGUGAUGAAGGCCCUAGGGUUGUAAAGCUCUUUCACCGGUGAAGAUAAUGACGGUAACCGGAGAAGAAGCCCCGGCUAACUUCGUGCCAGCAGCCGCGGUAAUACGAAGGGGGCUAGCGUUGUUCGGAUUUACUGGGCGUAAAGCGCACGUAGGCGGACUAUUAAGUCAGGGGUGAAAUCCCGGGGCUCAACCCCGGAACUGCCUUUGAUACUGGUAGUCUUGAGUUCGAGAGAGGUGAGUGGAAUUCCGAGUGUAGAGGUGAAAUUCGUAAAUAUUCGGAGGAACACCAGUGGCGAAGGCGGCUCACUGGCUCGAUACUGACGCUGAGGUGCGAAAGCGUGGGGAGCAAACAGGAUUAGAAACCCCUGUAGUCCCA
This 451-nucleotide ribosomal RNA is filed under the name uncultured organism. RNAcentral describes it as "partial 16S ribosomal RNA". It matches the Rfam family "Bacterial small subunit ribosomal RNA", at positions 330 to 797 of the family's 1533-position model. The record is from RNAcentral.